UCUCCAUACGUUUGGGUAGCUAGGAUUGGAUCUCUCUAUUUCUUAAUGCAAUUGACAAUUGUUUUGAUGCCUGAGGCCCAAGGACGUUCCUUGGCAAUUUGUUAAUUAGUAAUUAAUUAGAGGACGUUCCCUAAUUGGUUUAAUCAUAAGGAGAGAUAAUGGUGGUGAGAAGCGUCUUCCAUCUCCAUAACUAAUCUAUUGAAUCAACCCAAAAGAACAAAGUGUCUGUGAUCAAUCCCAAC
Molecule: long non-coding RNA, 242 nt
Filed under: Manihot esculenta (cassava)
Lineage: Eukaryota; Viridiplantae; Streptophyta; Magnoliopsida; Malpighiales; Euphorbiaceae
Description: long non-coding RNA (MESC_LNC008793)
Source: RNAcentral